GUGUCAGCCGCCGCGGUAAUACGGAGGGCGCGAGCGUUAUUCGGAUUUAUUGGGCGUAAAGGGCGCGUAGGCGGGCGAGUAAGUCUGGUGUAAAAUCUUCACCGCUCAACGGGAAGAAGCCAUUGGAAACUGCUCGUCUUGAGGCCGGUAGAGGAUGACGGAAUUCCUGGUGUAGCGGUGGAAUGCGUAGAUAUCAGGAAGAACACCGAUUGCGAAGGCGGUUAUCUGGGCCGGUCCUGACGCUGAGGCGCGAAAGUCAGGGGAGCAAACGGGAUUAGAUACCCCGGUAGUCCUGGCCGUAAACGAUGAGAACUAGGUGUGAGGGGUAUCGACCCCCCUUGUGCCGACGCUAACGCAUUAAGUUCUCCGCCUGGGGAGUACGGUCGCAAGGCUGAAACUUAAAGGAAUUGACGGGG
This 416-nucleotide ribosomal RNA is filed under the name uncultured prokaryote. Its description in RNAcentral is "bacterial SSU rRNA". It matches the Rfam family "Bacterial small subunit ribosomal RNA", at positions 505 to 918 of the family's 1533-position model. The record is from RNAcentral.